CAGUAGCCGCGGUAAUACGAAGGGGGCUAGCGUUGUUCGGAAUUACUGGGCGUAAAGGGCGCGUAGGCGGCCAUUCAAGUUAGAUGUGAAAGCCCUGGGCUCAACCUAGGAAUUGCAUUUGAUACUGUUUGGCUUGAGUUCGGGAGAGGUGAGUGGAAUUCCCAGUGUAGAGGUGAAAUUCGUAGAUAUUGGGAAGAACACCAGUGGCGAAAGCGGCUCACUGGACCAUUUCUGACGCUGAUGCACGAAAGCUAGGGGAGCAAACAGGAUUAGAUACCCGCGUAGUCCCUGUCUCUUAUAC
RNAcentral lists this ribosomal RNA (301 nucleotides) under uncultured bacterium. RNAcentral's name for it is "partial 16S ribosomal RNA". It matches the Rfam family "Bacterial small subunit ribosomal RNA", at positions 509 to 807 of the family's 1533-position model. The record is from RNAcentral.